UCUAGUUAUUAUAGCGAAGAGGAUACACCUGUUCCCAUUCCGAACACAGAAGUUAAGCUCUUUAGCGCCGAUG
This 73-nucleotide ribosomal RNA is filed under the name Intestinibacter bartlettii. The record is from RNAcentral. Lineage: Bacteria; Bacillati; Bacillota; Clostridia; Peptostreptococcales; Peptostreptococcaceae.